UAACGCGUGAGGAACCUGCCUCAAAGAGGGGGACAACAGUUGGAAACGACUGCUAAUACCGCAUAAGCCCACGGCUCGGCAUCGAGCAGAGGGAAAAGGAGCAAUCCGCUUUGAGAUGGCCUCGCGUCCGAUUAGCUAGUUGGUGAGGUAAUGGCCCACCAAGGCGACGAUCAGUAGCCGGACUGAGAGGUUGAACGGCCACAUUGGGACUGAGAUACGGCCCAG
RNAcentral lists this ribosomal RNA (225 nucleotides) under uncultured bacterium. RNAcentral describes it as "partial 16S ribosomal RNA". It matches the Rfam family "Bacterial small subunit ribosomal RNA", at positions 111 to 334 of the family's 1533-position model. The record is from RNAcentral.